Molecule: ribosomal RNA, 253 nt
Filed under: uncultured bacterium
Lineage: Bacteria
Description: partial 16S ribosomal RNA
Rfam family: Bacterial small subunit ribosomal RNA
Source: RNAcentral
UACGGAGGGUGCGAGCGUUAUUCGGAAUUAUUGGGCGUAAAGCGCGCGUAGGCGGUCUCUUAAGUCAGGUGUGAAAGCCCAGGGCUCAACCCCGGAACUGCAUUUGAAACUACGGGUCUUGAGUCCGGGAGAGGGAAGUGGAAUUCCUGGUGUAGAGGUGAAGUUCGUAGAUAUUAGGAGGAACAUCGGUGGCGAAGGCGGCUCCCUGGUCCGGUACUGACGCUGAGGUGCGAAAGCGUGGGGAGCAAACAGU